UACGGAGGGUGCAAGCGUUAUCCGGAUUCACUGGGUUUAAAGGGUGCGUAGGCGGAUUGGUAAGUCCGUGGUGAAAUCUCUAAGCUUAACUUGGAAACUGCCAUGGAUACUAUUAGUCUUGAAUAUUGUGGAGGUUAGCGGAAUAUGUCAUGUAGCGGUGAAAUGCAUAGAUAUGACAUAGAACACCAAUUGCGAAGGCAGCUGGCUACACAAAUAUUGACGCUGAGGCACGAAAGCGUGGGGAUCAAACAGG
Molecule: ribosomal RNA, 253 nt
Filed under: uncultured bacterium
Lineage: Bacteria
Description: partial 16S ribosomal RNA
Rfam family: Bacterial small subunit ribosomal RNA
Source: RNAcentral